GAUGAACGCUGGCGGCGUGCCUAAUACAUGCAAGUCGAGCGAACAGAUGAGGAGCUUGCUCCUCUGACGUUAGCGGCGGACGGGUGAGUAACACGUGGAUAACCUACCUAUAAGACUGGGAUAACUUCGGGAAACCGGAGCUAAUACCGGAUAAUAUAUUGAACCGCAUGGUUCAAUAGUGAAAGACGGUUUUGCUGUCACUUAUAGAUGGAUCCGCGCCGCAUUAGCUAGUUGGUAAGGUAACGGCUUACCAAGGCAACGAUGCGUAGCCGACCUGAGAGGGUGAUCGGCCACACUGGAACUGAGACACGGUCCAGACUCCUACGGGAGGCAGCAGUAGGGAAUCUUCCGCAAUGGGCGAAAGCCUGACGGAGCAACGCAGCGUGAGUGAUGAAGGUCUUCGGAUCGUAAAACUCUGUUAUUAGGGAAGAACAAAUGUGUAAGUAACUAUGCACGUCUUGACGGUACCUAAUCAGAAAGCCACGGCUAACUACGUG
This 497-nucleotide ribosomal RNA is filed under the name uncultured bacterium. RNAcentral describes it as "partial 16S ribosomal RNA". It matches the Rfam family "Bacterial small subunit ribosomal RNA", at positions 28 to 507 of the family's 1533-position model. The record is from RNAcentral.